AGAAAAGAGAAAAUAAACAUAUGACUUAUCAUUCAGUUUUCUGAUUCAUCUCGCGAACUCUCUAGCACCACCAUCGCCCACUGCAGUUCACCUCGUUCAGAUCUCGCCAUCAGAGUUCGUCCUUUUCAGAGCCCAUCGAUCCUCCUCUCUCCUUGGUAGCGUCGUUCAGUCUUUGUCGGAGAUGCAGAAUCGAAGUCGCGCGGUUCAGGAUUUUGCAAUUCCUCUUUGCUACUCUCAUGCAAGAAUCGAGCUAAUCAAAUUUCAGGCUGAGGUCACGGCAUUCAGGGGAGUUUACUUACACCUAUUUUCUUUCCCCUGUUUUUCCUUGCUUUGAAUGAUUGCCUUGAGUUCACAUCGGGAUAAUGUGAAAUACAGUGUGGGGGAAGGGAAUUAGAAAAAUUGACGUAGAACUUGAAUAAUUUGUUCUAAUUUUGCUGGGAUUUGCUUGAAUUGCUUAUUAGUUGGUUGAAAAAUCUGAUGGGUAUUGCCUGGAAAUGCUUUCUGUUGAUAGGGGGAUGAUGAUUUUUGUUUCUAUCAAUAGUAGUUCUGCACUUUUAAUCAGUUUUCAAUGGAUUUCCUUAAGUCCUAUGUUGUUUGUAAAGGAUUGAGCUGCCUUUCUCUUAUAGUUCAAGUCUUAGCAAUACUUUACUAGCUUUAAUAGAAUAGAUUUUCUUUUGCUUACAAUUUUGAAUAGCUUUCUUUGAGGAAUCUCUUGGAUUCAAAUGAGAUAAGCCUUGUUUAAUGGAUUUUGAGUAAUGAGUUGCUUGUUUUUAAACUGAAAUGAUCAAUUCAUGAUUGGAACACUCACCACGAAUCUGCCAUAAUCUUUUUGCAUGUGAAUUGUGUGCUUAAUGCUUUUGCCAAGUUACUUAAAGUGACCCAAAAAAAAAAAAAAAUUUGUCUAUGCUUAUAUGGAAUAAGAGCACAAGCCAUUUAAAUUCUUACUCCGUUGUCCGAUAAUGGACAAGAGUGGAGCUAGUAGCCACCUGAGUUUGUGACUCCAAGUAGCCGGGUGUGGGUAUCACAAAUAUUCACCCUCGCGCCGAAAGGAUGAUGAUAUCUCAGGCAAGCCUAAAAUGUGCUCAAAAUGUGCUGAAACAAUAUGGUAAUCUUUAGUACUUGGCAAUUUCAUUUUUUUAACUAUGUUUGCUUGAGCAUGAUUUUCCUUGGCAGGUUUUGGUAAUUGUUCUGUUGUGAAUUGACUUAAUUAUAUUGGGUUUAAAAUUGUGUGUCCUGAAUUGGUGCAAGGCUCAUUUGUUUGUGUUUGAGAGGUAUUACAAAGGUAGUUAUUCCUUCUUAUGAGUUUUGGAAGAUAAGUUUUGUUUUUGCUAGUUCUCUAUUGCUUGUAUGCUUAAAUUCUUUGGUUGAGCAGCUUUGUUCUAUUUAUUUGGACUAGAAUCUAGUGAAAAGAUGUUGAAAUGUUUAGAUUUUGAUCUUGCUUGAGGACAAGCAAGUGAUAAGUGUGGGGGAAUUUGAUAGAUUGAUAUUUUUAUUGAAUAUUUGAAGGAAAGUCUGUUAAAAAUUGCAAUAUAUUUUGAUAUCUUCAUUAUGAUUUAUUUCCUUUUUUUUGGUUUUGGGCAGUUAAAGGAAAAUUGCUGAUUUGUUGGAAUAUUUUGCUCAUUUGGAGAAAUUCAAGGCAUUGCAAAAAAGGGGGGUGUUUUUCUAUUUUGAAAGUCAAUGAUAUCCAUCUAUUUUUUAAAGCUCUUGGUGGUUACUGGAAGACAAGAAUCAGGGAGAUAUCUUAGGAUUUUAUUUGGUUAUUAUUGGGUUGUAAUUAUCUUUCUAUUUUUGAAUUUUCUCUACUCUACUAUAAAGAGAGAAGGGCUGUUAGUUUAGGGGGCUCAGAGAUUUAUUUAUUUUAUUUAUUAUUAUUAUUUUUUUAGUUUUGACAGUUUAUUAUUCUCUUUAGCUUGAACAAUCAUGAAUGGCUAAAACAUUUUAUUCCAGCUUUAGGUUUAAUCGAAAU
RNAcentral lists this unclassified non-coding RNA (1966 nucleotides) under Hevea brasiliensis (rubber tree). Lineage: Eukaryota; Viridiplantae; Streptophyta; Magnoliopsida; Malpighiales; Euphorbiaceae. The record is from RNAcentral.